UACGUAGGGUGCGAGCGUUAAUCGGAAUUACUGGGCGUAAAGCGUGCGCAGGCGGUGAUGUAAGACCGAUGUGAAAUCCCCGGGCUUAACCUGGGAACUGCAUUGGUGACUGCAUCGCUCGAGUAUGGCAGAGGGGGGUAGAAUUCCACGUGUAGCAGUGAAAUGCGUAGAGAUGUGGAGGAAUACCGAUGGCGAAAGCAGCCUCCUGGGCCAACACUGACGCUCAUGCACGAAAGCGUGGGAGCAAACAGG
Molecule: ribosomal RNA, 252 nt
Filed under: uncultured bacterium
Lineage: Bacteria
Description: partial 16S ribosomal RNA
Rfam family: Bacterial small subunit ribosomal RNA
Source: RNAcentral